UUUUUUUUUUUUUUUAAUGUAGUAACCUCUACUAAAGUAAUAUUUUAAAAUUCUCCCAAUGUCCCAGUGACAUUGCAAAUCAUUGCUUUUUAGGCUGCAGUUGCUUUCCAAAUUGGCCAGAACAAGACUCUGACAAAAGAAAAGAAAACAAAAAACAAACCUGCAAAUAGCUUUUUCAAAGCAGCUAUUAUUAGGAAAAAGAAAAACAAAAAGCAAAAAAAAUAAAAGAGUAGUUGGGAGAUACAGUUAAGGAAUAUUUAAAGCACUUGUACAGCUUGUAAAAUUUAAAAUUACCAGUGUUUUAGAAUAUCUUUUCACUUACUUACAUAGCAAUCCAUUAGAUGAGCAAUGCAGUAUAGAGGUAAAUGUCAUCUGUGCUUUUAGAGCUACCUGGAAGAUUUCAUUCUGAUAUAGGUUUCAGAUGACAAAAUAUCUUUCCAGAAAUUAUUCUUUGGGAUCUUUGUAGGUAGGAGCAAAUUGAAGCAAAGGAAAUUGCCAGAAGUUUGGGGUUCUAACUCUUGCUACAAGAAACUUGUCGGGUGAAAUGUUGCUGUUUCUGCCUGCAGUUGGUGCAAACCACGUGCAAGGAACAUUUCAAAUACCAAAUACCAGUCUUCAUAAAUGUGAGACAAACAUUUUUUCUUCUCUACAGUCUGCAAAGUCUGUUUUCCCCUGACAGCCAGAUAUGCCCAAAUACUUUUAGCUAUUGUAAUAAUUGCCUGAAGGAUACACCAAACCCAAUAUACCAAUACACCAAAAAAACCCCAUGUUUUUCUCUCAUUCUCUCCCUCUUUUUUCUUGUCUCAGAUAAUCUUUCCUAUUCCCCAAUAAAGCAAUAGAAAGGAUUUUUUGUGUGUGCGUAUUUCCCCUGUGGUCACUUGUGGGUGGGCAUAAAUUAAGUUAUUAUUGCUGUCAUGCUGCUCCCUCAAGGGAGGGAUUAAACCAAAUUUGAAACCCAGGAAAGGUCAAGCAAAGGAAAAUGUGGCACCUGUACAUUAGCUGAAAGUGCAUGCUGACCUUCCACAUGACAUGUCAAACACCAGCUGUGCUGUACAAAUUCUAGUUCCUAAGCACCAUUCAGCAAAGGCUCGGAGUGGAUUUUUUUAUGCCAGUUACUUUUCACUUCAUUGUGCAAUGCAGUAUUUACUUCCAUAGCCUCACAGUCAGCUGUUUUCUAAUUCUGUAAUUCAAGGUAAGUCAAUAAAUGGUUUUUGGAGAGGAAAAUCAUUACAAUCAUUACAAAUAAAUGCUCUCUUUCAACAUGCAUAGAUGGGCAAUGGUUUUCAAGAGGAAGAGUGUGAACAAUACAAGUAGAUAUAACCCUAAAAUUAAUCACAAAAUUUAGGCAAUAGGGUUCAACUUUCUGAGUUAAAAUGCUCCUUUACAUGGGGAUUUAGUAAGGUCCCUGCAUCUGAAGCAUCUCAAAUUCCUGAAGAGACCUUUUGAGCACUGGAGCCUGUCAUGACCUUUCUGGUCCCUGCCAAAUUUAUAAACCUAGUUUUAUUGCCUCUGCACCUUCAUGUAGCUAGAAAGCCUCACCAGACUCCACAGGCAGUCAUGCUCGAAUCUCCCCAUCUUCCACAACAUGGGAAGACAUCAAGAAAAAUUUUAAGUAGUAAACCAUGGUGUUUCAUCGUUGCCAAUUCUGUCCCCAGUGUAGUGACUGCUGUGUGACAUGCUACAUAAUAUGCCCAGGCCUUAUUCCACACUGCUUGGCAUUUUCUGCAGAGACUCCUUUGGAGGUGGUGAAAAAUACCCAGAUCACUACCUCUGCAGUGCUUUUGAUUAAUUUUGUCCCAUUAUAAAUGGCACUCAGAGGUGCUGAAUAAAGGACAUUUGUCACCUUCUAUAUGGACAUAAUAAUACUUAGAUCUCGUUCAAGUUCAACUGCUUACAUGCAAGAUGUCAUGGUAUCUAGAGUUCUUCAAUAAGUCAAUUUCCUCACAAGUUCAAACUAAAAGAAAAAUUAAAAAAAGAAAUGUUAUUCAUGGCCUGCCUGUAUACUUCAGUAAGGCAUUAUUUAGGGUGGAUCUCAACCUUUUCUAGACUUCCUCUUUACCGUUCAAAACUGUAAAUCUGUUAUAAUCCUCCAAAUUAGUACACAAUUAGCUGGAUAACUAGCGCCAGCCUUCUUAAUUCCUACCUUUCAGAUAGUGGAGAAAUGUGAAUUUUCUUGAAACACAACCCAUGAUCCUUAACUGAAAAGGAAUGCAAAACAAUCACCAUGUCAUCCAACUGAUCAAAUGGAUUCCUUUCUCGUGUAUGCAUAAGUGUGUUUUCAAGCAGGUAAUUUUGUGUUUUAAGGAGAGAGGAAGGAUAUUAUGUGUUCACCAAUGGGGUAUCACCUGCCACUUUAUAGCUGGUCUCAGGUAACCUCUGUAAGACCCUUCUGCCAAAACACUUUUCUCUUGACAGUAAAUAGGCUUCGCUGCUGUGUUCAGUAGAGCUGGAGUUAGAUCUCAUCCUUGUCAUCAUCACAUUAAAGUGCCUCUAGAACAAAACUUUAAUAUCCUGUGGGGCAUUUCUAUACCUAUAUUUUCUAAGGUGAUUUCCAUAUACAUCAGCCCAUAAAACAAAUUCCAUAAUAACAUGUUUUCAAGGAGAUUUGUGUUCUUAGGCACUCAACUGGGGGAACAUGAUUUCAUGACGGAUACAUGAUAUAUAUAUCUUUGUCAGAAAAGGGCUUGAGCUGAUUAGUUUAACCCAGGUUGGAGCUUGCACAGUCCAAAGUUCAGCUUGGCACUUGGUUUUGGUCCUAACCCAAAUCUCACCAAAUUUCCCCAUCACUCACUUCCCCCUUUGCUUUGGUGUAGGUGGUUCAGACUCUGAGUAUCUAGCACAUGUUCACAAACAACUAAGUGGUACUUCUUCCUCCAUCUGAAAUUUGCAAGUAAUGCAUGCAUUUUUCACCUGGUUUUCACAGAUGUUCUUCAGCUCUGGCAGACACACCGUCCACAAUAUUUUUAUACACCAAAGCUUGUUGCAGUGAUGUUUCAAUAUCAUCUGCAAACUGGCUGCAGAGGUCAGGCUAUUAUUGAAAACAGUGUUAGAGUUCAAAUCCCAAAUUCUAUAACUGUAUAAUUCUAAUUAUUAUGAUGCUUUCUACACUAAGAACUUUUGUUAUCCUCUUCACUGUCCUGAGGUGUUCAUAUUUCAUUUAGCUGGUGUGAUAACGAAGUCAGGCUGUGUUAUCUGAAAUAAAAUGAUGCCAAUCCAUGGCUGAGCAACAAGGAAAAGUAAAGCUGCCUUCUGAUUCUCUGGGUGAGUGACAAGAUAGGGUAAAGAAACUCUUUUUAGCUCAUGUGUUUCUCUGUAGAGGCCUGACUACCCUGAAAAUCCCUGAUGGCUGAUUUGAGAGAGCAGACUGAGCUGUCACGAUGAAGGAAUAAGGUCCCAUAUUCUCCUGAGCAGCUUUAGAAAUGCCCCACCGAUGGAUUCAUGGAUUUGGCACUUUGGUUUACACCCAGCAACUGCUGUAGGUAGACAUCCGACGCUGCACGCAGGGGUAAACUCGGCAAAAUAGGAAUCACUAUAAUUGUAGUUCAGCAUGGUGCUACAGCUGAGCCCAGUUCAGUGGAGUGUGUGCAUCCAUAGGACACCUCCCUGCACAGCGCUGAUUUUCUUCCUCCUCUUUCACACAUGCUCUUAAAUAUCCUACUGAACUCCUGACACCGUCUCCACCAUUCCUUUGCUGAGUGAUCUCCCCUCAUACAUAUUUACAAGUCUUGUCUGCAUAUACCUUCUCAAUUGUUUGCCAAUGAUUUCCUAGUCUCAGCGAGGCUUUUAGCGUUGGGAGUCAGACUUUCCCCUCUGGCAUCAACAAGGGCAGAGUCCAGCAAAAAGCCACUCAGUCAGCAGUUCGCAGAGUAUCAGCAAGGCAAUUAACCUAAUGCCAGAAACGAUAGAUAACAUGCCCAGCCCUUGCCUGUUCCGCCCAUAUUUUACUGCUGAAGAAUUGCCAUUGCAUUCAUUGCUACGUAGUUUACUGAACCUUCACUUAAUCCUUAUCCCUAGCUGAGGAUUCACAAUAUGCAAUUACUUUCUAUUAUCUUGGAUUUGCAGAAGGUAAUUACAUGAACAAGCACCAGUGACUGGGAUAAGCAGAUGAUACAGCUGACACGUAGGCCUUCCUGAUAUGAAGCCUGUAUUGCCAUUUCAUGUCAUGAGUGGGGCUUCCUUUUUAGUGGUCCACCAGCUAUCUCUCCUUUUUCAGUGCCCUUCAGACAGCUUUUCUUAAGGGAGGCUUUUUUCCUGAGCAAGUCCUCCAAAGAGGAAAACCGAGAGGAGCCGCAGUCCCUGUCUGGGUGUUGCAUGCUGAGAGAAAGGCAAUCUGUGGCAGUGGUAAGGACUGUUUGUCAGAAGAGUGUCUUUGACUCUGGAGUCUUCCUCCCGUUCCCUCUCUGCCAUCUCUCUCCCCUGAGGAGUCAUUUCCAACUGUUCUUAGCACUUUGCAGGGAGAAUACAAGGUGAUAAGCCCACACUAACUGAUUGCAACUUCUACAGUCCCAAAAGCUGUAAAGGAGCCAUGGCAUUAGCAUCCUUUUUUUUUGAAGAGGAAAAAAAAAAAGGAAAACAAAAAGAACAAUAUUCUGGAUGACUGUAACCCCUGAAAAACUCAGCAGGACCUGUGUCAGAAUCCAUCCAAAUGCAUAGGGAUAUUUCAGUUUCAAAUUAUUUACACAGAUCUGGGUCUAGCUAAGAGAGAUAUGUGGAGACACCAUGUAAAAGUACUGUAUAACUGACAAGAAUAUUUAAAAAGUACUUCACAGAUUUCCUUUUCAGCAGUAACUAUGAGCUUCUAAAGUGACAGUUCCUGAGGGAAUGAGCAUCUACAAAGUCUGGAUGCAAAAUUCAUUAUACCUGUUUUUCACAAGCAAAAAUUUGCACACUUCUUGGUUUUUAUUUGGCAGCAAGAAGAGAUGAGGUCACUGAGUAGACAAAAAUAACUAUCAAGCCACUAGAGAAGCUGCAGGUUAGUUUGUGAUUCCCACUGAUGUAAGAAAUCAUACUUAAUUCCUGUAGACAGUGCCCUUGUACCACAUGCAACCAGCAAAUUCUAGUGCUCCCCCAGUGCUCCUGACCAUAGAGUCAUAGAAACACAGAAUUAGAGAAUCAUAGAAUGCCAGGUUGGAAGGGACUUCAAGGAUCCUCUGGUCCAACCUUUGUAGGCAAAAGCACAGUCUAGACAAGAUACCUUGCCCAGCUGAAUAUUAGAGUUUUCCAGUGUUGGGGAAACUACCACUUCCUGAGGGAGAUUUUUCCAACGGCUGAUUAUUCUCACUGUGAAAAAUUUUCCUCUUGUGUCCAAUCAGAGUAUUUCCAGGUGUAACUUUUAUCUAUUAUCCCUUGUCUUUUCCAUGGGACUCCUUUUAAAAACAGGAGUCUUUAUCCUCCUUGUAGCUACCCUUUAAACAGUGGAACAUGGUGAUUAGGUCUCCUCUAAGCCUUCUUUUCUCCAGGCUGAACAAACCCUGUUGUCUCAGCUUUUGCUCACGUGGCAAGCUUCCCAGUCCUUUGGCCUUCUUUGUGGCCCUUCUCUGGGACUGUCUCUCACCUGUCCACAUCUUUAGUGUUAAUUCUUAGCUCUGGAAGGGUUUUUCCUGUGCCUAACAUGGCCAUUUUUCUACUGAUGUAGGGAGAGCUCUGCAGAAGAUUGUAAGGAUCCUGAGCACACAAGCCCCUACAGGGAAGACAGCAUUUACAUCUCAUAAUUUAAUACAGAGAUAUAGAUAUAACCAAUUUUUUUUUCCCAGAUGCCUGGUUAGGACAGCCAAAAAAAA
RNAcentral lists this long non-coding RNA (5780 nucleotides) under Taeniopygia guttata (zebra finch). RNAcentral's name for it is "lncRNA (ENSTGUG00000024688.1)". Lineage: Eukaryota; Metazoa; Chordata; Aves; Passeriformes; Estrildidae. The record is from RNAcentral.